CCCCCUCUAGUCCGCCAUCUCGACCCUUCUAGGAGUAAACUCCACUAGCCUAAUUCUCUGGUACCUCCUUGAGCCACGUCAUCAUUCACUUCUUUGCUGCCGCAUGCAAGUAUUUACUCAUAAAUAGUUUCAGUAGUGGAUGCAGUUACCUAUAUAUGAUCAUACAUACAUACUGCUAGCAUUAUUCUCUCACGUGACUUCCUCUCUUUCUCUUUGAAAACAAACUACUAAUAGUUAAGCUAUAUAUAGAUGACUUGAUCGAUUAUAGUGAAAAUAUAUUUAUAUUUCUCCUCCAUAUCGGUGCGUAUAAAGAAUCCUCAUAGUUUCUAUAGACUAGCAACCUUACUCGAUUUGACAAUAUUAGAGAAAAAUAAGCUCCAAUGGGGAAAAAGUUUCUAUGACUACGUGAAGCACGCCAACCCCC
Molecule: long non-coding RNA, 424 nt
Filed under: Sorghum bicolor (sorghum)
Lineage: Eukaryota; Viridiplantae; Streptophyta; Magnoliopsida; Poales; Poaceae
Description: long non-coding RNA (SBIC_LNC000445)
Source: RNAcentral